CCUACGGGAGGCAGCAGUAAGGAAUAUUGGUCAAUGGAGGCAACUCUGAACCAGCCAUGCCGCGUGCAGGAAGAAGGCCCUAUGGGUCGUAAACUGCUUUUGUACCAGAGAAAACCCGAGUACGUGUACUCGGUUGAUAGUAUGGUAAGAAUAAGCAUCGGCUAACUUCGUGCCAGCAGCCGCGGUAAGACGAAGGAUGCAAGCGUUAUCCGGAUUCAUUGGGUUUAAAGGGUGCGUAGGCGGACUGAUAAGUCAGUGGUGAAAUCUCUCGGCUUAACCGAGAAACUGCCAUUGAUACUGUUAGUCUAGAGUAUAGAUGACGUCGGCGGAAUAUGACAUGUAGCGGUGAAAUACUUAGAUAUGUCAUAGAACACCGAUUGCGAAGGCAGCUAACGAAACUAUAACUGACGCUGAGGCACGAAAGUGCGGGGAUCAAACAGGAUUAGAUACCCUGGUAGUCCGCACCGUAAACGAUGAUUACUCGUUGUUGGCAAUAUGACCGUCAGCGACCAAGCGAAAGCGAUAAGUAAUCCACCUGGGGAGUACGCCGGCAACGGUGAAACUCAAAUGAAAUUGACGGCUGAGACGNGCGAGGACGACGACGAGGGAGGAGG
This 614-nucleotide ribosomal RNA is filed under the name uncultured bacterium. RNAcentral's name for it is "bacterial SSU rRNA". It matches the Rfam family "Bacterial small subunit ribosomal RNA", at positions 338 to 951 of the family's 1533-position model. The record is from RNAcentral.